GAAGUAGGACGGUUGAUCGCGAGUAGGCAUACUUGGCCUAUUUUGAGGAAAGUCCGGACUCUAAGGGCAAGAUACUGGUUAACAACCAGAGGGAGUGAUCCCUGAAUAGGGCCAUAGAAAAGAAGACCGCCGAAAGGCAAGGGUGGAACGGUGAGGUAAGAGCUCACCAGUGUCAGAGCGAUCUGACAGCUUGGUAACCUCUAUCUUGAGCAAGGUCAAGCAAGAAGGCCAGAGGUUUGCCCGCCGAGAGACUUGAGUGUCCGCCUUCUGGGUAGACCGCGUAGAUUAAUGGUCAACUUGACAGAAUCCGGCUUAUAGUCCUACUGAUAUA
This 331-nucleotide RNase P RNA is filed under the name Petrotoga mexicana DSM 14811. RNAcentral's name for it is "bacterial RNase P". It matches the Rfam family "Bacterial RNase P class A". From Rfam's summary of the family: Ribonuclease P (RNase P) is a ubiquitous endoribonuclease, found in archaea, bacteria and eukarya as well as chloroplasts and mitochondria. The record is from RNAcentral. Lineage: Bacteria; Thermotogati; Thermotogota; Thermotogae; Petrotogales; Petrotogaceae.